GACGAACGCUGGCGGCGUGCUUAACACAUGCAAGUCGAACGGAACUUCUUUGCUUUUGUGUGGUUCUCGAGUGGCGAACGGGUUAGUAACACGUGCGUAACCUUCCCUUGACUUUGGCAUACCUUCAAGAAACUGGUACUACUUCCGGAUAGGUGCUCCUGCUGCAUGAUGAUAGUUGCCACGUUUGGGCGGUUGAGGAUGGACUCGAGGAUUAUCAUUUUGUUGGUGGGGUAGUGGCUUACCAAGUCUUUGACGGGUAGCCGGCCUGAGAGGGUGACCGGGGACAUAGGGACUGAGAUACGGCGCAGAAGCGUACGGGAGGCAGCAGGGGGGAGUAUGGUAGAAUGGGCGGAAGUCGGAUGAAGAAACGCCGGGAGCGGGAUGACGGCUUGCGGGAGGUAAAAGGGUGUCGGCGGAGACGAAGAGGGAGUGACGGUAAUGGGUAAAGAAGCACCGGCUAACUACGUG
RNAcentral lists this ribosomal RNA (468 nucleotides) under uncultured bacterium. RNAcentral's name for it is "partial 16S ribosomal RNA". It matches the Rfam family "Bacterial small subunit ribosomal RNA", at positions 28 to 507 of the family's 1533-position model. The record is from RNAcentral.